GAUGAACGCUGGCGGCGUGCCUAAUACAUGCAAGUCGAGCGAACAGACGAGGAGCUUGCUCCUCUGACGUUAGCGGCGGACGGGUGAGUAACACGUGGAUAACCUACCUAUAAGACUGGGAUAACUUCGGGAAACCGGAGCUAAUACCGGAUAAUAUAUUGAACCGCAUGGUUCAAUAGUGAAAGACGGUUUUGCUGUCACUUAUAGAUGGAUCCGCGCCGCAUUAGCUAGUUGGUAAGGUAACGGCUUACCAAGGCAACGAUGCGUAGCCGACCUGAGAGGGUGAUCGGCCACACUGGAACUGAGACACGGUCCAGACUCCUACGGGAGGCAGCAGUAGGGAAUCUUCCGCAAUGGGCGAAAGCCUGACGGAGCAACGCCGCGUGAGUGAUGAAGGUCUUCGGAUCGUAAACCUCUGUUAUUAGGGAAGAAAAAAUGUGUAAGUAACUAUGCACGUUUUGACGGUACCUAAUCAAAAAGCCACGGCUAACUACGU
This 496-nucleotide ribosomal RNA is filed under the name uncultured bacterium. RNAcentral's name for it is "partial 16S ribosomal RNA". It matches the Rfam family "Bacterial small subunit ribosomal RNA", at positions 28 to 506 of the family's 1533-position model. The record is from RNAcentral.